RNAcentral lists this ribosomal RNA (253 nucleotides) under uncultured bacterium. RNAcentral describes it as "partial 16S ribosomal RNA". It matches the Rfam family "Bacterial small subunit ribosomal RNA", at positions 524 to 776 of the family's 1533-position model. The record is from RNAcentral.
UACGUAGGGCGCAAGCGUUAUCCGGAAUUAUUGGGCGUAAAGAGCUCGUAGGCGGUUUGUCGCGUCUGCCGUGAAAGUCCGGGGCUCAACUCCGGAUCUGCGGUGGGUACGGGCAGACUAGAGUGAUGUAGGGGAGACUGGAAUUCCUGGUGUAGUGGUGAAAUGCGCAGAUAUCAGGAGGAACACCGAUGGCGAAGGCAGGUCUCUGGGCAUUAACUGACGCUGAGGAGCGAAAGCUAGGGGAGCAAACAGG